UAUGGCUUUUUAUUCCUAUGUGAGGGUAUGCAGUGUUGCGUAGGGGUGAAAGCCAUUGA
RNAcentral lists this microRNA precursor (59 nucleotides) under Eptatretus burgeri (inshore hagfish). RNAcentral describes it as "Ebu-Mir-135-P10_pre stem-loop". The record is from RNAcentral. Lineage: Eukaryota; Metazoa; Chordata; Myxini; Myxiniformes; Myxinidae.